Molecule: long non-coding RNA, 228 nt
Filed under: Pan troglodytes (chimpanzee)
Lineage: Eukaryota; Metazoa; Chordata; Mammalia; Primates; Hominidae
Description: long non-coding RNA NONPTRT001918
Source: RNAcentral
AGAGGAGGGGCCCAUUGCAUCAGGGGCCCAUUACAAUAGAGAAAAUUGGGACAGGGUUGAAGGGUGGGAAUAGUCCUCAUCUUGCCUCUCACACCCUCCAUGGCUCCCAAGGGGCCACCAUAGUGUGACCAUUGCUGCUCUAGGCCAGUCACUCAUUUUGGCAGGGAAGCUGAAACUCAGACAAAGUUUCUCAUCCAUGGCCAUGCAGCCGGUGAGGACAGGGCUGGG